CUAGCCCCGCUGCGUAGAGUUUGAUCCUGGCUCAGUAAGUCGUAACAUGGUAGCCGUAGAGUUUUGGCGAACGGGUGAGUAAUACGUGAGUAACCUGCCCUUGACUCUGGGAUAAGCCCGGGAAACUGGGUCUAAUACUGGAUGCUACAUGUCACCGCAUGGUGGUGUGUGGAAAGGGUUUACUGGUCUUGGAUGGGCUCACGGCCUAUCAGCUUGUUGGUGAGGUAAUGGCUCACCAAGGCGACGACGGGUAGCCGGCCUGAGAGGGUGACCGGCCACACUGGGACUGAGACACGGCCCAGACUCCUACGGGAGGCAGCAGUGGGGAAUAUUGCACAAUGGGCGAAAGCCUGAUGCAGCGACGCCGCGUGAGGGAUGACGGCCUUCGGGUUGUAAACCUCUUUCAGCAGGGAAGAAGCCACAAGUGACGGUACCUGCAGAAGAAGCGCCGGCUAACUACGUGCCAGCAGCCGCGGUAAUACGUAGGGCGCAAGCGUUGUCCGGAAUUAUUGGGCGUAAAGAGCUCGUAGGCGGUUUGUCGCGUCUGCUGUGAAAGCCCGGGGCUUAACCCCGGGUGUGCAGUGGGUACGGGCAGACUAGAGUGCAGUAGGGGAGACUGGAAUUCCUGGUGUAGCGGUGGAAUGCGCAGAUAUCAGGAGGAACACCGAUGGCGAAGGCAGGUCUCUGGGCUGUUACUGACGCUGAGGAGCGAAAGCAUGGGGAGCGAACAGGAUUAGAUACCCUGGUAGUCCAUGCCGUAAACGUUGGGCACUAGGUGUGGGGGACAUUCCACGUUUUCCGCGCCGUAGCUAACGCAUUAAGUGCCCCGCCUGGGGAGUACGGCCGCAAGGCUAAAACUCAAAGGAAUUGACGGGGGCCCGCACAAGCGGCGGAGCAUGCGGAUUAAUUCGAUGCACGCGAAAACCUUACCAAGGCUUGACAUAUACCGGGAUCGUUCCAGAGAUGGCUCUUCCCCUUUUGGGUCGGUAAUACAGGUGGUGCAUGGUUGUCGUCCAGCCUCGUGUCGUGAGAUGUGGGAUAAAGUCCCGCAACGAGCGCAACCCUCGUUCAUUGUUGCCAGCCACGUGAAUGUGGACUCAUGAAGAACUUGCCGGGAUCCACCUCGAGAGUGGGAUGACGGUCCAAUCAUCAUGCCAUAUGGUCUGGACUUCACGCAUGUCUACAAUGGCGGUACAAUGUUGCCAUCUGUGAAUGACUAUCCAAGCGAUCUAGCUUCGAAUGUAG
This 1245-nucleotide ribosomal RNA is filed under the name Kocuria sp. Its description in RNAcentral is "bacterial SSU rRNA". It matches the Rfam family "Bacterial small subunit ribosomal RNA", at positions 58 to 1303 of the family's 1533-position model. The record is from RNAcentral. Lineage: Bacteria; Bacillati; Actinomycetota; Actinomycetes; Micrococcales; Micrococcaceae.